AUGAAUAUCCUAAGCUGGAACUGCCGAAGGGCGGGGAAUUUUCAGAUAGUUCGUGAUCUUGUGAGUCUAGUGCAGGCUCACUCCCCUAGUAUCGUUUUUCUUUGUGAAACUAGGAAGUCUAAGAAUAAAAUGAAGAGAUAUCGUGCUCGGUUAGGUUUGAGAGGUUUUGAUGCCUUAGAUAGUGUUGAUCUGAGUGGUGGUCUUGCUUUAUAU
This 213-nucleotide ribosomal RNA is filed under the name Triticum aestivum (bread wheat). RNAcentral's name for it is "partial small subunit ribosomal RNA". The record is from RNAcentral. Lineage: Eukaryota; Viridiplantae; Streptophyta; Magnoliopsida; Poales; Poaceae.